This is a long non-coding RNA of Sinocyclocheilus rhinocerous, 89 nucleotides long. RefSeq lists it as uncharacterized. Lineage: Eukaryota; Metazoa; Chordata; Actinopteri; Cypriniformes; Cyprinidae. The record is from RefSeq and is a predicted model, not a curated record. The transcript is spliced from 3 exons.
UAGGAGUUUAUAAGAAUCCAUGUCUGAGGGGAACUUACAGUCUUUAGAACAGUUUAGAUGGUAUUCCAAUUUCUGUUCCUCUUGCCUCU